Hemiscyllium ocellatum (epaulette shark) is the source of this 2437-nucleotide long non-coding RNA. RefSeq lists it as uncharacterized. The record is from RefSeq and is a predicted model, not a curated record. The transcript has 3 exons. Lineage: Eukaryota; Metazoa; Chordata; Chondrichthyes; Orectolobiformes; Hemiscylliidae.
UGUCGGGCCUGGGGGGCCGUGUCCUCGGCUCGGAGGUCGCGUGAUCGGCCGUUUUGCGCCACGGAAGUGGGCGAGACUGCCGGGUCGUGCUCGAAAGGAGGCCGCAUGGUGGUCCUUUGUCUUCGAAAAAGGGAAGGUCCCGUGCGUUCAAACAGCCGGAAAUGCGAGGAGGCGGGGAAUGGAAUCGGAGCAACGGCCAAUGAGAAGACAGUUCCACUUGAGUGAUGAGCACGCAGGACUUGGCUCAUUCAUAAAAGAUAAUAAGUUUGUAGGUUGAGCCUAAAGUCCAUCAGAUUGGUGAGCCUGACGUGAUUCCGACGUGAUCGACGUAAAACGAAAGGAAAAUCGAAACAACGGACACUGACGUCUGGUGAUGACAACAAGCGGAGCAGCUAAACAAAAAGCUUUCUCUAAAACAGGUUGGAUCGGAAAAGGGGGACCUACAGAGCCAGGCGCCAUCCACCACAGAGUGGGUCCUGCUGAAGGUGAUCAAACGGAAGUGGUCGGAGCCACGGUGGUCAGGACGUUACAAGGUGGUGGAAAGGACAUCUCAUGUGGUUCGACUACAAGGAAAAGGAGACACUUGGUACCAUUGGAGCCAGUGUGCGGCCACAGACCCGCCAACGAGAACUCUACAACAAAUAAGGACAGAAAGAGUAGAAGGGUCUUAAACUAUUAAUUGUUGUAUGACGAAUAUUAUGUUCAUGUUAGUAAUCAGCCCACGUUAUUCUAAGCCGUUAAGCUUGGGAGUUUUCACUAUUUUAUGUAGAAGUGUUAUGAUACUAUUCAUAAGGGGAUCAACCACGAGGGACAAACACACAGACGAGGUAGAGAGUCCCAGGAAUAAGGGAUCAAAAGGACAAGAGAUGGACAAAUGUUAAGUGAGCCGGGUAAACAUUAGACAUGAUAUAAAGUGUGAUACAAUACAUCGAUAUACCCGUUUGACUUAGGUCAGGUAAUUGACUGUGGCCAAAAUACAGGGAACUGGACGGAGUAUGAUAUAUAUCUUUGUAUCUACACUAUCUACUAUGACCCAUGCCCGUCGUGGGAUAAUGUAAUAACGUGGACUGCGGUACAACGGACACCUAAGAAGUCGUCAGCCUCGGAUAAUAGAUGGGAGGUUAGAGACCAUGUGAGCCUGACAAUGAGGCAACUUGAUUACCUCUCAGAGCUAAAAAAAAUCCACUCUUGUUAACCUUGACAAGAUUCAACAUUAAUCCUGGUUCUGAAAAGGUACAGAUUUACUAUGAAUUGAUGACAGAAGCUUUUAUUUUGAAAUAGGGGUUCCCCGCGGUGUACCUCAUGAAUAUAAGUUGGUAAAACCAGGUAACAACAGGAUUUGAGAAUCUCCCAAUCAUUAGUGCUUUAUUCCCAGUUACGCCGAAUAAAAACGUUGAUCGAAUUAAUUAUGUACAUUACAAUGUACUCAGGCUAGCCAAUAGAACUAGAGACGACGUGGCGGAACUCUCUGAACAACUGGCAGGGACCUCAUUGAUGACAGUACAAAAUACAAUGGCCUGAGAUAUGUUGUUGGCGGAAAAGGGGGGAGUGUGCUCUAUGUUUGGAGAUCAAUGUUGUACGUUCAUCCCCAACAAUACAGCACCUGAUGGCUCGGUAGCCAGAUCCCUGGAAGGAUUAAGAACUUUGUCUGAAGACAUGUAUGCACAUUCAGGUAUUGACAACCCUCUAGGAGGCAUUUUCGAUUCCUGGGGAGGGGAAUGGAAAGGGUUUAAUUGUGUCUGUGUUUAUGUCCCUUGUUGGUAUGACCAUUGUGUUCGUGUUGUGUGGAUGUUGUUGUAUCCCCUGUAUCAGAUCUUUGUUGAACAGGGUAAUUAUUACAGCAAUUGAAGGGAAGUCUCCACCGCCCUACCAGAUGUCACAGAUGGAGACGGAAACCAUGGCCCUGGCAAGAGGGGAGGACUAUGCGUCGGAGAGUGAAUGUGAUGCGUAACACUGGUUUGUUGAUUUCAUUGUCAUGAGAUCAAAAGGGGGAGUUGUAAAUAUAUAUAUUAAAAAAUAACUUACCUGGAAAACUAAAUUGUCGGGCCUGGGGGGGGCGUGUCCUCGGCUUGGAGGUCACGUGGUCCUCCAAUAGUCGGGCAUGGGGGCGUGUCCUCGGCUCGGAGGUCGCGUGGUCCUCCAAUAGUCGGGCUUGGGGGCGUGUCCUCGGCUCGGAGGUCACGUGAUCGGCCGUUUUGCGCCACGGAAGUGGGCGAGACUGCCGGGUCGUGCUCGAAAGGAGGCCGCAUGGUGGUCCUUUGUUUUCGAAAAAGGGAAGGUCCCGUGAGGUCAAACAGCCGGAAAUGCGAGGAGGCGGGGAAUGGAAUCGGAGCAACGGCCAAUGAGAAGACAGUUACACUUGAGUGAUGGUAUGAUGUUUUGUAUGGAAUAAAGGAAUGUGUUAGGGAGAGAGAUGGGUCUUUGUCUUUGUGAACUG